UGGGGAAUAUUGCACAAUGGGCGCAAGCCUGAUGCAGCCAUGCCGCGUGUGUGAAGAAGGCCUUCGGGUUGUAAAGCACUUUCAGCGGGGAGGAAGGCGGUGAGGUUAAUAACCUCACCGAUUGACGUUACCCGCAGAAGAAGCACCGGCUAACUCCGUGCCAGCAGCCGCGGUAAUACGGAGGGUGCAAGCGUUAAUCGGAAUUACUGGGCGUAAAGCGUACGCAGGCGGUCUGUCAAGUCGGAUGUGAAAUCCCCGGGCUCAACCUGGGAACUGCAUUCGAAACUGGCAGGCUAGAGUCGUGUAGAGGGGGGUAGAAUUCCAGGUGUAGCGGUGAAAUGCGUAGAGAUCUGGGGGAAUACCGGUGGCGAAGGCGGCCCCCUGGACGAAGACUGACGCUCAGGUGCGAAAGCGUGGGGAGCAAACAGG
RNAcentral lists this ribosomal RNA (429 nucleotides) under Chloroflexota bacterium. RNAcentral describes it as "Chloroflexi bacterium partial 16S ribosomal RNA". It matches the Rfam family "Bacterial small subunit ribosomal RNA", at positions 355 to 776 of the family's 1533-position model. Lineage: Bacteria; Bacillati; Chloroflexota. The record is from RNAcentral.